Molecule: ribosomal RNA, 762 nt
Filed under: uncultured bacterium
Lineage: Bacteria
Description: bacterial SSU rRNA
Rfam family: Bacterial small subunit ribosomal RNA
Source: RNAcentral
AUCGGCCGAUCGCCUUGAGUUGAUCAUGGCUCAGAAUAACGCUGGCGGCGUGCCUAACACAUGCAAGUCGAGCGAGAAAAGGGUAGCAAUAUCCUGAGUACAGCGGCGCACGGGUGAGUAACACGUGGGUAAUCUGCCCUGGAGUGGGGAAUAACACCGGGAAACCGGUGCUAAUACCGCAUACGAUCACGAUGUCUGCGGAUGUUGUGAUGAAAGGAGCAAUUCGCUCCAGGAGGAGCCCGCGGCUGAUUAGCUAGUUGGUGAGGUAACGGCUCACCAAGGCUACGAUCAGUAUCCGGUCUGAGAGGACGGUCGGACACACUGGAACUGAGACACGGUCCAGACUCCUACGGGAGGCAGCAGUGGGGAAUUUUUCGCAAUGGGGGCAACCCUGACGAAGCAACGCCGCGUGGGUGAUGAAGUCCCUUGGGACGUAAAACCCUUUCGACGGGGAAGAAACCGCAAGGUUGACGGUACCCGUAGAAGAAGCCCCGGCUAACUCCGUGCCAGCAGCCGCGGUAAUACGGGGGGGGCAAGCGUUGUUCGGAAUUACUGGGCGUAAAGGGCGCGUAGGCGGUCUGCUAAGUUGGAUGUGAAAACUCUGGGCUUAACCCAGAGCCUGCAUUCAAAACUGACAGGCUAGAGUUCUGGAGGGGAUAGCGGAAUUCCUGGUGUAGCGGUGAAAUGCGUAGAUAUCAGGAGGAACACCGGUGGCGAAGGCGGCUAUCUGGACAGAGUCUGACGCUGAGGCGCGAAAGCUAG